CUCGUAGGCGGUUUGUCGCGUCGGGAGUGAAAACACCGGGCUUAACUCGGUGCUUGCUUCCGAUACGGGCAGACUAGAGGUAUGCAGGGGAGAACGGAAUUCCUGGUGUAGCGGUGAAAUGCGCAGAUAUCAGGAGGAACACCGGUGGCGAAGGCGGUUCUCUGGGCAUGUCCUGACGCUGAGGAGCGAAAGUGUGGGGAGCGAACA
Molecule: ribosomal RNA, 207 nt
Filed under: uncultured bacterium
Lineage: Bacteria
Description: partial 16S ribosomal RNA
Rfam family: Bacterial small subunit ribosomal RNA
Source: RNAcentral